UAAAUUGUUGCAUGUAACAAGGAAUUAAUGCAACACUAAGCUAAGUUCAUAACAAAUAAUUUUAGCUUAUUAUUUCUUUUGAUCAAACAAUGACUUAUGUUAAGCUUGUUACUUUGGCUGUCUUCAUGCUCACCACAUUCUUAAUCGUCGAGACGAUGAACAUUGAAGCAAGGCUGUGUCCAACCGCCGGUACGGCUUGUUCACAACGUAGGGGGAAUUCAUGCGGCGGCAUCGAGUGUAUUUGUGUCUCUCAGGGGUAUCCUUAUGAUGGAGGUAUAUGCAAGUCACGCAAUUGAAAAAGACUACUUGAGGAUGGCUUUGGAAAUUGCCACUUAAGAAUUAUAUGUCUCAAAAACUAAAAACCAACCAUGCAUGUUAUCAUGCAUGCAUCUACUACUUUAAAUAAAACAACCUUUGUUUUCAAUUGAUCAAUUGUAUUUCUUCGAUAUCUGUCUGGAUUUUAAUAGAUGAUUUUGAUUCGUACA
Molecule: long non-coding RNA, 485 nt
Organism: Medicago truncatula (barrel medic)
Lineage: Eukaryota; Viridiplantae; Streptophyta; Magnoliopsida; Fabales; Fabaceae
Exons: 2
Source: RefSeq, a predicted model, not a curated record